Podarcis lilfordi (Lilford's wall lizard) is the source of this 342-nucleotide non-coding RNA. The record is from the annotation of a GenBank genome assembly. Lineage: Eukaryota; Metazoa; Chordata; Lepidosauria; Squamata; Lacertidae.
GGGUACCGGAAGGACGUGCCACCGGAGGAGAGGCAUGAGCACAGGAAGGGGAGGGAAAUGGGCGGAAGAGGCGCUGCGACGUUGGGCCAGCAGAGACGUGCCGAGCGAGGCUGGCCCUCUCUCUUUCUCCCACCCACUCUCUCUGUCGACCCCGCUCUCCCAGGGUGCAGCCCUGCCCCCCGCCUCGUCCUCACCUGCCUUUCUCCCCCAGUGGCCUUCCUCUCGUGCCCCUUUGCGGUAGGAUGGUGCGGGUGGGCCGCGGAAGUUUAUAUACAAGAAUAUACAUACCUAGAUAUAGGUGUCCGUUUGUAAAUAUAUAAAAAUAAAAUGGAUAUAUGUAUA